GUUCGGAUUGUAGUCUGCAACUCGACUACAUGAAGCUGGAAUCGCUAGUAAUCGCGAAUCAGAAUGUCGCGGUGAAUACGUUCCCGGGUCUUGUACACACCGCCCGUCACACCAUGGGAGUUGGGAAUGCCCGAAGCCGGUGACCUAACCGAAAGGGAGGAGCCGUCGAAGGCAGGCUUGAUAACUGGGGUGAAGUCGUAACAAGGUAUC
This 210-nucleotide ribosomal RNA is filed under the name uncultured bacterium. RNAcentral's name for it is "partial 16S ribosomal RNA". It matches the Rfam family "Bacterial small subunit ribosomal RNA", at positions 1291 to 1500 of the family's 1533-position model. The record is from RNAcentral.